Molecule: long non-coding RNA, 377 nt
Filed under: Catagonus wagneri (Chacoan peccary)
Lineage: Eukaryota; Metazoa; Chordata; Mammalia; Artiodactyla; Tayassuidae
Description: lncRNA (ENSCWAG00000014194.1)
Source: RNAcentral
AAAAGCCUGAAUGUAAACCGAGGCCACUGGGUAUUGAGGCUACCCACAGAGGCUGGACCCCUGCUGGCCUACGUGGCUCCUUUGUGUACACAGAGUGAGGCACCCCCUCACCCAGAUAUAACCUAUUGGAUGCACAGUUCAGUAGGCAGCAACGCCUCGGAUCAAAUAAGAAAAAGGGCUGCUGGGAAGGCGGACAGAGACUCCUAGCUCUCUCUCUUGAACUCUGAGAUUCAGACAGAAGUCUUCCAUGGCUCUUUAUCACAUCUGCAAAUUAACAGGAAAAUGACUGCAAGUGGGUCCUGGACCCGUUCUCUUAACGACUGAGCACAUUCCCACCACCUUCUGCUACAUCCUGAAGCUGCCCCGAACACUUGUGC